GAUGAACGCUAGCGGCGUGCCUAAUGCAUGCAAGUCGAACGGGACCCUUUGGACUCGUCUGAAGGUGAGAGUGGCGAACGGGUGAGUAACACGUUGGUGACCUACCCCAGAGAGGGGGAUAACCAUUGGAAACGAUGGCUAAUACCCCAGAUGUCAUUACUGUUAGAGGGUAAUGACUAAAGCUCCGGCGCUCUGGGAGGGGCCUGCGGCCCAUCAGCUAGUUGGUAGGGUAAUGGCCUACCAAGGCAGAGACGGGUAGGGGGCGUGAGAGCGUGACCCCCCACACUGGUACUGACACACGGACCAGAUACCUACGGGUAGCAGCAGCGAGGAAUAUUGCCCAAUGGACGAAAGUCUGAGGCAGCAACACCGCGUGGAGGACGAAGGCCUUCGGGUUGUAAACUCCUUUUCUGGGGGAAGAGAAAGGACGGUACCCCAGGAAUAAGGCCCGGCUAACUACGUG
This 463-nucleotide ribosomal RNA is filed under the name uncultured bacterium. RNAcentral's name for it is "bacterial SSU rRNA". It matches the Rfam family "Bacterial small subunit ribosomal RNA", at positions 28 to 507 of the family's 1533-position model. The record is from RNAcentral.